This 1414-nucleotide small RNA is filed under the name Pongo abelii (Sumatran orangutan). Its description in RNAcentral is "retained intron". The record is from RNAcentral. Lineage: Eukaryota; Metazoa; Chordata; Mammalia; Primates; Hominidae.
AUCCUCUCUGCUUUUCCUCAUGGUGUUAAUUCUUCCCUGAAUCCUUGUUUGCACCUGCCUCUUGUUCUCCCAGCAAACAUCCUUGUUUGCAUACCAGCUCCUAUUGCCUCUUUACCGGAGAUUUCCUGGACAGCUGGCAGCAUUUGUCACCCUUCUUCUCUGUGUCCUGAGUGCUGGCUUGCUUCCCCAGGCUGUGGUCCUUUCCUUGUCCCUAUUUCUAACCUGAGUUUUAUGUCUUGCCUGGCUCUCCCACCAGCCUGGGCCCCCUGGAAUUGAGUCUGGAUCUUAGAUCAGGUGACUGAUGGGACAUGUGUCUUUGCUGCACAUCAGGUGGACUUUCACUGCUGGAUGUGUGGGAAAAACUGCAACAGUGAGAAGCAGUGGCAGGGCCACAUCUCCUCCGAGAAGCACAAAGAGAAGGUUUUCCACACCGAGGACGACCAGUACUGCUGGCAGCACCGCUUCCCAACAGGCUAUUUCAGUAUUUGUGAUAGGUAUAUGAAUGGCACCUGCCCAGAAGGAAACAGCUGUAAAUUUGCACAUGGAAAUGCCGAACUUCAUGAAUGGGAAGAAAGAAGAGAUGCCCUAAAGAUGAAGCUCAACAAAGCACGAAAAGAUCACUUAAUUGGCCCAAAUGAUAAUGACUUUGGAAAAUAUAGUUUUUUGUUUAAAGAUUUAAACUAAUAUGCUGGCUUUUAUGUAUGAUACCUAAUCAGAGCAUUGACCAGAAAAAUUGAAAGUCUUCUAAGGCACAUAGCAGAGGAGCUGCAGAUUUUCUGCUUGUAUUGGCGUAUAUCGUUCCUCCUGAGCAGCAACCCACAGUAGGUAGGAAAAUGGGCUGUUUCACAGGCCUGGCCACGCUCUCACGGAACCAUUGGCAUCAGAUGGUGAAGUGACUGCUACCCGGUUGCCAUCUGUUGAACAGACUUUUGGAUGAAGUGUGUUGGGGAAGAGGAUAAGGUUAUAUUUAGGACAACUCUUUGAGUUGGUCCUUCAUAUAAGAAUCAUGACGGUAAGAGAAUAAACACUUGUACUGGGAUCAGAAUACAUGAUGGAUGAAAUUCUUUACAUGUUUUAGCAGAAUGAAUUUGUUUAAUAUAAUAAAGUUUGCUACUUAUCUGUAUGUAGGUUGCUAAAAAGGAUUUUCUUAACUCAGAUUUUAAGCCAAAUAACCAUUUAACACUAGUAUUUGUUAAAUGGGGUAUUUUUCUGUAUUUGUAUGUUUCACUAUAAUAAGGGAAUUAAGGAUAAUGUGCAUUGAGAAUAUUUUGAAAAAUAAUUAAUUGACUCAAAUUUUAUUUCUUGGUCUUUUGCUGUUUAAAUGAUGAUUUUGAAAGACUAAACCUGUACUGUUGGUAUUGUGUUAGUGUAUGGACCAAUACUGCCUGUAAUAAAGAUUUUAUAUAUAGAUGCC